RNAcentral lists this ribosomal RNA (446 nucleotides) under uncultured bacterium. RNAcentral describes it as "bacterial SSU rRNA". It matches the Rfam family "Bacterial small subunit ribosomal RNA", at positions 505 to 949 of the family's 1533-position model. The record is from RNAcentral.
GUGCCAGCAGCCGCGGUAAUACGUAGGUGGCAAGCGUUAUCCGGAUUUAUUGGGCGUAAAGCGAGCGCAGACGGUUCGAUAAGUCUGAAGUGAAAGCCCACAGCUCAACUGUGGAAGUGCUUUGGAAACUGUCGAACUUGAGUACAGAAGAGGAAAGUGGAACUCCAUGUGUAGCGGUGAAAUGCGUAGAUAUAUGGAAGAACACCAGUGGCGAAGGCGGCUUUCUGGUCUGUUACUGACGCUGAGGCUCGAAAGCAUGGGUAGCGAACAGGAUUAGAUACCCUGGUAGUCCAUGCCGUAAACGAUGAAUACUAGGUGUUGGAGGGUUUCCGCCCUUCAGUGCCGCAGCUAACGCAUUAAGUAUUCCGCCUGGGGAGUACGACCGCAAGGUUGAAACUCAAAGGAAUUGACGGGGGCCCGCACAAGUGGUGGAGCAUGUGGUUUAA